GGGGAUGUAUCUCAAGGGUAGAGCAUCUGCUUAGCAUGCAGAAGGUCCCAGGUUCAAUCCCUGGCAUCUCCA
This is a non-coding RNA of Hemicordylus capensis (graceful crag lizard), 72 nucleotides long. Lineage: Eukaryota; Metazoa; Chordata; Lepidosauria; Squamata; Cordylidae. The record is from the annotation of a RefSeq genome assembly.